Molecule: ribosomal RNA, 466 nt
Filed under: uncultured bacterium
Lineage: Bacteria
Description: partial 16S ribosomal RNA
Rfam family: Bacterial small subunit ribosomal RNA
Source: RNAcentral
GAUGAACGCUGGCGGCGUGCUUAACACAUGCAAGUCGAACGGAAAGGCCCAAGCUUGCUUGGGUACUCGAGUGGCGAACGGGUGAGUAACACGUGGGUGAUCUGCCCUGCACUUCGGGAUAAGCCUGGGAAACUGGGUCUAAUACCGGAUAGGACCACAUUUUGGAUGGUGUGGUGGAAAGUUUUUCGGUGUGGGAUGAGCUCGCGGCCUAUCAGCUUGUUGGUGGGGUAAUGGCCUACCAAGGCGUCGACGGGUAGCCGGCCUGAGAGGGUGUACGGCCACAUUGGGACUGAGAUACGGCCCAGACGCCUACGGGAGGCAGCAGUGGGGAAUAUUGCACAAUGGGCGCAAGCCUGAUGCAGCGACGCCGCGUGGGGGAUGACGGCCUUCGGGUUGUAAACUCCUUUCGCUAGGGACGAAGCGUUAUGUGACGGUACCUGGAGAAGAAGCACCGGCUAACUACGUG